Molecule: long non-coding RNA, 269 nt
Organism: Aplysia californica (California sea hare)
Lineage: Eukaryota; Metazoa; Mollusca; Gastropoda; Aplysiida; Aplysiidae
Exons: 2
Source: RefSeq, a predicted model, not a curated record
AUCAAGAACUAUGACGAAGUUCCUCACCACUGUGGUAAUCUUCAGCCUCGCCAUACUUGCUACCAUCCUUGUAGCUGUAGAAGCUCGGCCACCCUCGAUAGAAGGAGUUGUCGGGAUAGGAUACUCCGGCAUUGUUGAGGAGCUUCGUUCUCGAGGAGGCGUACGGUUUUCCGAUCCAGUCAUCCCGGAUUUUUAUUAGAGAAGGACUCUAAGCCUUUAUAUAUUAGAUCUAUCAAUUUACAAUCAGAAUUAAACGCACGAUAAAGCUA